CCUACGGGAGGCAGCAGUGGGGAAUAUUGGUCAAUGGGCGAGAGCCUGAACCAGCCAAGUCGCGUGAGGGAAGACGGUCCUAUGGUUUGUAAACCUCUUUUGUCGGGGAGAAAAAGACGCCACGCGUGGCGUUCCGAGAGUACCCGAAGAAAAAGCAUCGGCCAACUCCGUGCCAGCAGCCGAGGUAAUCCGGAGGAUACGAGUGUUAUCCGGAUUUAGUGGGUUUAAAGGGUGCGCAGGGUGAAGAUCAAGUCAGGUGAAAAAUUGAGAGGCACAACCUCUUCGAGUCAUUGAAACUGGUUUGUGUGAGGAAGUGAGAAGUAGGCGGAAUGCGGGGUGUAGCGGUGAAAGGCAUAGAUAUCACGCAGAACUCAGAUGGCGAGGGCAGCAUACGGGCGCUCAACGGACGCUCAUGCACGAAAGUGUGGGUAUCGAACAGGAUUAGAUACCCUUGUGUC
This 458-nucleotide ribosomal RNA is filed under the name uncultured bacterium. RNAcentral describes it as "partial 16S ribosomal RNA". It matches the Rfam family "Bacterial small subunit ribosomal RNA", at positions 338 to 795 of the family's 1533-position model. The record is from RNAcentral.